RNAcentral lists this ribosomal RNA (250 nucleotides) under uncultured prokaryote. RNAcentral's name for it is "partial 16S ribosomal RNA". It matches the Rfam family "Bacterial small subunit ribosomal RNA", at positions 524 to 773 of the family's 1533-position model. The record is from RNAcentral.
UACGUAGGGGGCGAGCGUUGUCCGGAAUUACUGGGCGUAAAGGGUGCGUAGGCGGCACGGUAAGUUGGAUGUGAAAUACCCGGGCUUAACUUGGGGGCUGCAUCCAAAACUGCUGAGCUUGAGUGCGGGAGAGGAAAGCGGAAUUCCUAGUGUAGCGGUAAAAUGCGUAGAUAUUAGGAGGAACACCGGUGGCGAAGGCGGCUUUCUGGACCGUAACUGACGCUGAGGCACGAAAGCGUGGGGAGCAAAC